This is a non-coding RNA of Pelobates cultripes (western spadefoot toad), 945 nucleotides long. The record is from the annotation of a GenBank genome assembly. Lineage: Eukaryota; Metazoa; Chordata; Amphibia; Anura; Pelobatidae.
CCCGGAUCACCACGAAACUCCCACAUGGACCGAAGCCGCUCUCACCCAAGCUCUCACUCAAGCCUCCACCAACGCCAAGCACAAAAGCUACGAAGAGCCCUCUCCCAAACCCACACAGAAUGUCAAAGAGACUCGGAGCUCCGACAAGCGGAUGGGGGAGACCGGGGCAGAAGCCCCCUUUUACACACUAUAAAUGGUUACCGGGACUGUUUCUGACUGGUGUGGGCUGAAUGGAGAGCAAUUUACAACCUACAACAUCUCGGCACCAGGACACUGGCACCAUCCUUCUCUUGACCUCGAAGACCUCGUAAGAGGGACAUGUUCAUUCUUUUUUUUUUUGUGUGUGUGUUUUUUGCAGUUUCAUUCUUGGGUUAUUUUAAUGGCUCCUAUGACGUACAAAACGAGAAGUAGUAGUUCUUCUGUUUCACAUACCUAUCUAACCAUCGUCAUGCCUGAAAGAAUAUGCACACAGAUAGCAUGUUUAGCCUGUAUAGCAUUAUUACACACCUAUAUGCAUACAACAUCUUUAAACCCCAGCACAGCUCCAUAUGUUACACAAUCUAUUGUUGUCUACGCUAACAGAAAACCAGCACGCUACUCAUCUAGCUAUUAACUUAAGCUAAACUACAAACACUAAACUACAAACACAUUUCAAUCUUUACCUUCAAUUAUCACUCACAUGUCUAGCAAGUACAUACAGUUAGACACGCAAUUCCAGCUAGGACUGGACAUGAUUAUUUUGUCUAGCAUGUUUCCUGAUACGCCUGUUUGUAAUAUAUAUGCUAUAAUAUGCUAUAACUCGUGUAUUAAAAACAAAAAAAAAGUGCAGUAUACCACAAUGACGUUAAAAGACACAUUGUUACCCUGUCUCUAAAGUUUUGUGAUAAUGCUGAAAUGUAUAUUUAACACUGCACUGAAAAAUAAAGAAUUAAAAAAAAAAAAAAA